Molecule: small RNA, 164 nt
Filed under: Aquimixticola soesokkakensis
Lineage: Bacteria; Pseudomonadati; Pseudomonadota; Alphaproteobacteria; Rhodobacterales; Paracoccaceae
Description: Manganese sequence
Rfam family: Manganese Mn2+ riboswitch aptamer (yybP-ykoY)
About the family: This RNA was originally discovered in E. coli during a large scale screen and was named SraF. The family was later found to exist upstream of related families of protein genes in many bacteria, including the the yybP and ykoK genes in B. subtilis.
Source: RNAcentral
GUUCAGGGUAUCGGGGAGUAGCGAUCAUCAGCGAUGAUGAGAGCACGUCAACAUAUUCGCGGCUCAUCCGCGUGGCGUGCUCGGUCCAAAGAGACUUUGCGAGACCGUGGCGUGGGGAUCCUGCGGGCGGGGUCCGUGCAUCGCCCGGUUCAGCCCUGAGGAUC